This 373-nucleotide ribosomal RNA is filed under the name uncultured prokaryote. RNAcentral's name for it is "bacterial SSU rRNA". It matches the Rfam family "Bacterial small subunit ribosomal RNA", at positions 524 to 896 of the family's 1533-position model. The record is from RNAcentral.
UACGUAGGGGGCAAGCGUUGUCCGGAAUUAUUGGGCGUAAAGGGUGCGUAGGCGGCCCAUCAAGUUGGAUGUGAAAUCCCCGUGCUUAACAUGGGAAUUGCAUUCAAAACUGAAGGGCUUGAGUGUGGAAGAGGUAAGUGGAAUUCCCAGUGUAGCGGUGAAAUGCGUAGAUAUUGGGAGGAACACCAGUGGCGAAGGCGACUUACUGGGCCACAACUGACGCUGAGGCACGAAAGCGUGGGGAGCAAACAGGAUUAGAUACCCUGGUAGUCCACGCUGUAAACGAUGAUUACUAGGUGUAGGGGGUAACACCCCCCCUGUGCCGCAGCUAACGCAAUAAGUAAUCCGCCUGGGGAGUACGGUCGCAAGAUUG